GACGAACGCUGGCGGCGUGCUUAACACAUGCAAGUCGAACGAGACGAUUUAGAAGCUUGCUUUUAUUGAGUCGAGUGGCAAACGGGUGAGUAACGCGUAGACAACCUGCCGCAAAGAUGGGGGACAACAGUCCGAAAGGACUGCUAAUACCGAAUGUUGUAUCUCCUCCGCAUGGAAGAGAUAUUAAAGAUGGGCCUCUACUUGUAAGCUAUCGCUUUGCGAUGGGUCUGCGUCUGAUUAGCUAGUUGGUGGGGCAACGGCCUACCAAGGCGACGAUCAGUAGCCGGUCUGAGAGGAUGAACGGCCACAUUGGAACUGAGACACGGUCCAGACUCCUACGGGAGCAGCAGUGGGAAUCUUCCGCAAUGGACGAAAGUCUGACGGAGCAACG
RNAcentral lists this ribosomal RNA (391 nucleotides) under uncultured bacterium. RNAcentral describes it as "bacterial SSU rRNA". It matches the Rfam family "Bacterial small subunit ribosomal RNA", at positions 28 to 396 of the family's 1533-position model. The record is from RNAcentral.